This is a long non-coding RNA of Cynocephalus volans (Philippine flying lemur), 730 nucleotides long. RefSeq lists it as uncharacterized. NCBI's taxonomy places the organism in Eukaryota, Metazoa, Chordata, Mammalia, Dermoptera, Cynocephalidae. The record is from RefSeq and is a predicted model, not a curated record. The transcript has 4 exons.
AAAGAGAAAAAGGACUUGCUUCUGUUUGUUUGCUAGUUUCUUUUGAUCUGAGGGAACAUUUUCUAUGAUCCUGUUAAGGAUUGUCCUUUUUACCCUAAACUUUUAAGGUGAGAAAACUGAGGUGUUAACAGGCCUAGCAACUUGCCAGGAUAUUCAAAUCAUAGGUGGCCAAGUUGAGAGUUAGCCCAGAUCCCUGGCCCCCUGGUGCAGACCACUCUCUGCUGCUGUGCCCCACAGGGAGAUCUCCUGGGCCUCAGGUGGAGAGGAGUGUCCCGUGGACCACAGUGGUGGUGUCAGUGCCCUGCAUCUGUUCAAAGCCCACCUCUUCAUUCAGAGGGCCCAUUGAUGACCACAAAAAGGAAUGUCCAGUGCAGCUGCGGGUCCACUUGAGCCCUCCAAGCAAGCACUCUCAAGCUCUCUCUGUCUGUGAGCCCUGUGCUUUCAGAGCCUGUUGUUGCAGCGAUGUCUGGAAUCCUCAACACCUGCACACCAGCUUCCUGGGCCUUUCCACACCCUCCCGGCCCGCUCCCUCAGUUCCAUUUGCAUCUGAAAUGCAGCUGCUGGGGCCCUAUAGAGGGGAGCCAAAUGGACAGGCCCUCUCCUUGUUUGGUCUCCCUCCCCUGAGUCAAAGCGAAUCUGAAGCUCCUCUGUGCGAGGCUUUUUGUUGCCUGAGCAUUAUGUUUAAAUGAGCCUCAUCUGCAGGAGAAUUUUUUUUAAUAAAAUAAAAUAA